UUUAACUGAAGAGUUUGAUCAUGGCUCAGAUUGAACGCUGGCGGCAGGCUUAACACAUGCAAGUCGAGCGGGGGAAG
Molecule: ribosomal RNA, 77 nt
Filed under: Acinetobacter baumannii
Lineage: Bacteria; Pseudomonadati; Pseudomonadota; Gammaproteobacteria; Moraxellales; Moraxellaceae
Description: partial 16S ribosomal RNA
Rfam family: Bacterial small subunit ribosomal RNA
Source: RNAcentral